AAGAUGGAGAGGAUCAUCGUUUUGUUGCUCGUGAGUAUUUGUCGCUAUUCAUUUCGAAUGAAAGUUUGAAAAUUGGGAUGUUUUAAAUGGUGAAGUUAAUUAAAUUUUUUAAUAUAAUUAAAGAUAAAUUUAGACUCUCUUAAUCUAUUGUAUAACCUUGAGGAUUACUGUAAGCAUAUUAGAGAUUCGAAAGUUCGAGCUGUGAUUUUUCUUUUAAGAAUUUUUCACGUUAAUAUUGUGCGGAUGAUUAUUUGUUAUUUUU
RNAcentral lists this long non-coding RNA (262 nucleotides) under Panax ginseng (ginseng). RNAcentral's name for it is "long non-coding RNA (PGIN_LNC005414)". The record is from RNAcentral. Lineage: Eukaryota; Viridiplantae; Streptophyta; Magnoliopsida; Apiales; Araliaceae.